Molecule: ribosomal RNA, 449 nt
Filed under: Gotozyma siamensis
Lineage: Eukaryota; Fungi; Ascomycota; Saccharomycetes; Phaffomycetales; Phaffomycetaceae
Description: eukaryotic LSU rRNA
Rfam family: Eukaryotic large subunit ribosomal RNA
Source: RNAcentral
UCAAAUUUGAAAUCUGGCAGCCUCGCUGCCCGAGUUGUAAUUUGAAGACGUGUCUUUGGGGACGGGCCUUGUCUAUGUUCCUUGGAACAGGACGUCACAGAGGGUGAGAAUCCCGUCUGAUGAGGCCUCUGAACCGUGUAAAGGCGCUGUCGACGAGUCGAGUUGUUUGGGAAUGCAGCUCUAAGUGGGUGGUAAAUUCCAUCUAAAGCUAAAUAUUGGCGAGAGACCGAUAGCGAACAAGUACAGUGAUGGAAAGAUGAAAAGAACUUUGAAAAGAGAGUGAAAAAGUACGUGAAAUUGUUGAAAGGGAAGGUUAUUAGAUCAGACUUGGCUGUGGAGUAUAUUGUUCCCCUUGUGGGUUCAUCACUACUGCGCGUGCUGGGCCAGCAUCGAUUCGUGCGGCAGGAUAAAAGCGUGGGAAUGUGGCUGUUGUCUUCGGAGAGCAGUGU